Molecule: ribosomal RNA, 253 nt
Filed under: uncultured bacterium
Lineage: Bacteria
Description: partial 16S ribosomal RNA
Rfam family: Bacterial small subunit ribosomal RNA
Source: RNAcentral
AGCGAACCUGCGAAGGCAAGCGGAUCUCUUAAAGCCGUUCUCAGUUCGGACUGUAGGCUGCAACUCGCCUACACGAAGCUGGAAUCGCUAGUAAUCGCGGAUCAGCACGCCGCGGUGAAUACGUUCCCGGGCCUUGUACACACCGCCCGUCACACCAUGAGAGUUUGUAACACCCAAAGCCGGUGGGGUAACCUUUUGGAGCCAGCCGUCUAAGGUGGGACAGAUGAUUGGGGUGAAGUCGUAACAAGGUAGC